Molecule: non-coding RNA, 5427 nt
Organism: Momordica charantia (bitter melon)
Lineage: Eukaryota; Viridiplantae; Streptophyta; Magnoliopsida; Cucurbitales; Cucurbitaceae
Source: RefSeq, a predicted model, not a curated record
CGAUCGCUCUCUCAUUCGACAAAAGGGCUUAUCCAUUAAUAAAAAGAUGGUUUUGGAAAGGUGUUGGUUGUUUGACCGUGCAUGACGUUGCAAGCUCGACUUUGUCCGACAAUUUCACACCCUUUUGUAGUGGUGGAAGACCUUAUGGCAUUCAAACAUCCCAACCAAGGUUAAGGUUUUUGGGUAGGUUGGAGUGCUUUUAGGAGAAAAUUUAAUGAGAAAGAGAAUCUUGAACCAUGAGCAGCAUGGAAGAUGUGGCCAUUUAAAAUAAAAUUUUAUCAAUGCUCUGUCGAGGUGCAAAUAGAGUAAGAGCCUUUGGAAAGAAACACCUUUCUACUAUGAUAAUUGGCUUUGAACGAUAACUUCGCUUUCUGACCUUGUGGUGGUCUAAAGACAAUCUAGAUAAAACCAAUUUAGAGUUCUUCCUGAUUAUGACAUGGACAUGGGCAGUGUGGAAUCCAAGGAAUAAUUUUGUUUUUAAGGGAUGUGGAGAAAGGUAAUUUAGAAAUCUUCCUGAUCAUGACAUGGGCAGUGUGGAAUCUAAGGAAUAAUUUUGUUUUUAAGGGAUGUGGAGAAAGGAGGCAACCUAUGAUUGAGGAGCAAUAUGGACUUGAGCUCAAAAUUAUGCUCAACGGUAUAAAGAGGCAAAUCAAAAGGGAACAUCAACGAGUGAUAUUUUACCACAUCAGAAACCCAACCACGUCAGCGCGGAAGCCCCUCCCUUACACCAGUCAAAAAUGAACAUUGAUGUCGCGAUUAAACAAGACGAUAUGAGAGUGGGGAUGGGAGCCGUGCUUUAGAAUCACGAGGGAAAGGUUCUUAGCUUUUUAAAAGUAAUAUGGAGCUCUUUCGAGGUGGACAUGGCACUGAGUCUAGCGAUUUGGACAGUCUUUAGUAAUAUAGAGUUCUUUCGAGGUGGAAAAGGAAAGUUGUACUCCUUCCAUUUCUCUGUUGAAUUCAGGUAAUUUUUCUAAAGCCCUAUCUUUUUUCUUCAAGUUCAAUGGUUGUACUGAUUAUGUUUCAGGUGUGUAGAAGAAUCGAGCUGAUUGAUUCGGUUGAAAACCAGUUUUCCAGGUAAAUAGAAGAAUUGAGCUCAUUGAUUCGUUUGAUAACCAAGUUUCCUGGUACAUGCUUAUAAAUCAAGGUCAAUAGGUAAGUACAUUGCAUUAUUUUUUGCUUCAUUUUUCUUAAAGAACAUUUAUUUAAUUCCCUUUGAGGUAUUUGCAUCAAAUAUUGAUCAAUGAUGCCACAACUUGAAAGAGUAAUUUAUGUGAUUUUUCAAACUUCGUACUCUCCCAUAAUGGAUAUGGAAGAAAGGGUUUGGUAGGAAAGACGUCAAGGUUUGUUUCUUUAUCUCCACUCACUCUUUCUGUUAUCUAACUAAUAAAAAUUCAUUUUGCAGAGGUGGAAAACAGAAUAGUUGAAAAGAAAAGAAAAGUUGCAGAGGUUUGUUUAUUCCAUCUCUCUCUCGACUUUAGGUACUUUUUCUCAAUCUGAAUCUAUUUUCUUCAAUUGUAAUGGUUGUAUGAUUAUGUAUUAGGUAAAUAGAAGAACCGAUCUCAUUGAUUCGUUUGAAAACCAAUUUUGGGUAAGUGCAAUGCACUAUUUUUUGCUCCAUUUUUCUUGAAGAACAUGCAUGAUAUUCUCUUUCAGGUCUUUGGGUCAACGUUGACAGAUGAUGCCAUGGCUUGAAAGAACUAUUUUUAUGUGAUUUUUUCAAGACUUCGGACUCACCCAAAAUGGCUAUGGAAGGGAGGGUCUGGUAUGAAAGACAUCAAAUUUUGUUUCUCUCUCCAGUCACUAUUUCUCUCCCUAUAACUAAUAAAAAUGCAUUUUGUAGUUUUAAAAAACAAAAUACGUUCCGAAGUUGAAAAGAAAAGCAGUAAUCCGUCCCGUCUAUCUCCUCUCAAUUUCAGGUACUCUUUCUCAAUCCUUAUAUCUUUUUAUCAAAUUUGAAGUUUGUAUGAUUAUGUUUUAGGUAAGUAUAAGAACCGAGCUAAUUGAUUCGCUUGAAAUCCAGUUCCCCAGCACAUGCUUAUAAAUCAAGGGUAAUGGGUGAGUGCAUUGCAUUAUUUUUUUCUCCAUUUUUCUAAAGAACAUAUAUGUAAUUCUCUUCCAGGUCUUUUGGUCAAACAUUGACAAAUGAUGUCAUGACUUGAAAGGAUCAUUUUAUGUGAUUUUUUUCAAGCUUUCGAACUCACCUGAAAUGGCUAUGGUAGGAAAGCGAUCAAGGUUUGUUUCUGUCUCUCCGCUCACACUUUCUCUUCCUUUGACCAAAAAAAUGCAUGUUUUAGAGAUGGAAAACAAAAUGCAUACAAAAAUUGAAAAGAAAAGUUCUUUUUUUCUUCAAGUUUAAUGGUUGUAUUGAUUAUGUUUUAGGUGAGUAGAAGAAUCGAGUUGAUUGAUUCGGUUGAAAACCAGUUUUCUAGGUACAUGUUUAUAAAUCAUGGGUAACGGGUGAGUGCCUUUGAUUAUUUAUUCAUCCAUUUUUCUUGAAGAGCAUGCAUGGGAUUCUCUUUAAGGUCUUUUGGUCAAGAUAUGUCAGCUGUCCCUACUUAUUUGUUGCCUCUAAAUAUAGGACCAAUCCUUGAUUUGUGAGUUGUAUCUAAAUAUUUGUUGUCCCGAAACAAUGGACCAAUGGUUGCCACGGUAUGUCAGUUGUCCCUAAAUUUGUUGACUUGAAAUACAUGACGAAUGGGUUCUUCUUGAUGUCGGUUGUCCCUAAAUAUUGAGGACCAAGGGUUGCCUUCAUUUUUCAAUUGUCCCUACAUAUUGGUUGUUCAGAUAUAAAGGAACAGUGAUUGCCGCAGUAGGUUGAUUGUCCCUAAAUAUUGGUUGACUUGAAAUAUAGGACAAAUAGUUGCACGUUAUGUCGUUUGUCCCAAUAUAGGACCAAAGUCUUGAUAUGUCAGUUGUCCUUCAAUAUUAGUCGCCUCAAAAUUAAACACAAAUAGUUGUCUUAAUAUGUAAGAUGUCUCAAAAUAUUGGUUGUCUUGAAAGAAGAGGAUAAAUGGCUGCCUCAAUAUGUUGAUUUUCCCUUAAUAUUUGUUGGCUAUAAUUAUAAGACUAAUAGUUGUCUCGAUACUUUGGUUAUCCCUAAGUAUUGGUUGACUCAAAAUAAAGGACCUAUAGUUGCCUUAAAAUGAAGGAACUAUGAUUGCAUCAAUAUGUUGGUUGUUCCUAACUAUUAGUUUCCUCGAAAUAAAUGACCAAGCUUUGAUAUGUCGGUUGUCCCUAAAUUUUUGUUACCUCAUAACAGAACCAAUGGUUGCCACAAUAUGUGGCUGUCCCUAAAUAUUGGUUGCAUCGAUAUAAUAAUUUUUAUUAGACUUAUCAGAGUAACCUCGGAUUACUUCCCAAUUCAGUUGGAUUUUGGGUACAUUAAAUCGGGUCCAACUCCCUUCAGAUCCAAGAACAUGUGGCUGCUUCAUCCCUCUUUCCAUCCCUUUCUUGAUUCUUGGUGGAUAAACAAUCCUCUCCAUGGCUAGGGCAUGGAUUGAUGGUGAAGCUUAAAUCCUUGAAAUCAACAAAGAUACUUUUGGAGGUAUGCACUCAAAAAAAGAAACAGCCUACAGUUGCUUUCCUUUUAUGCUUCCCUACGUGGAAAAUGAAUCAAACCUGUUUUGAUACUCAAGGAAAUUGAAUCAAACCUGUUUUGAUACUCAAGGAAAUUGAUGAUGUAGAAAGUAUAGCCCCUGUCCCUAGCUUUUCAGAAUGAGCAGACUUACAUAAAGGUACAACUUUUAGAUAUGGCAGCUAACGAAGAAAUUUAUUGGUGGCAAAAAUCCAAACUAAAAUGGUAUCAUGAUGGCGUUCCAGAUUUUUUUGAAAAAAUGAUAUCAUCAAUGCUAACCUCAAUGAAAUCUUUAUAUGCCUACUUGAUUUGGAUGAAAUAAAAUAUUUGGAUAGAAUAAAAUAUUUGUAUUCCAAUAUGUAUCAAGAAAUACAUAGUCUUCUUAUAUAGGAGAAAGGCUCAAUACAUAAUAGAAAAUAAGAAUAAAAUAACCAUUAAUAUUUACGGUUAAUAUCCAUGAAUAAACCAUCAUGCCCCAUCCCAAAGAAAAAAUAUGCGAAAGCAGUACAUGAUUAUCAGCCUAUAAGCAUCACUUUCUAGAAAAGAUUUCCGCAAAGAACACUCAAGUUCCUUAAUAACCGAUGAGAGGAGUUUAAAAUACGUUGAAAUGUUGGCUAGAUUCGAAUUGCAAAUAGUUAAUCUUCUCCUUCUUGAAAGAUCAAAAUGACUCCAUUUUGCCAAUUUCUUUGAAAUUUUCUCAUGGAUGAGUUGUCAAAACAUGAGUAACUUUGGGUUCCUUCCAAGUGGCAAACAUAGAUAGUAGAACAGAAGAGAGACUAGACCGCCUUGAAUUCAAGCCUAGAGGAUAGCUGACUUAUCCUUUGUUGAUCAAUGUUGAUUUCACAAAUAGAGGAUUUAUCCCAAUUCAUUUUUAGAUCUGAAAGCCAUUCAAAUAAAUCGAUAGAGUUCUGCAAAUAAUUCAACGAACUAUCAUCAUCUUUAUAAAGUAGCAACCUAUCUUCUGCAAAUUGAAGAUGAGAGAUGUGCAGUUUUCUGUUGCCCGACAAUGAAGCCUUCAACAAGGUCUUUAGAAAAAAAGGAAAGGAAAAAGAGGAUCUCCUUGCUUUUAAGCCUCAGUAGGUUGAAAUUCUUCCUCGUGGUCUCCCAUUUAUAAAGAUCGAGAAUUUGGUUUUAGGACAAUUUCAAGGAGGUCCCAAUCCACCAUGUUGAUUUUCGAGGUCAAGUUUCAAGAUCCAACCUUGCUUCUUUAGCCAUUUGUAUUCCUCUACCAAUUUGUUGGCAAUAAGAAUGGGAUCAAGUAUUUGUCUCCAAUGAAUGCACUUUGAUUUAUAGAGAUGGUGGAUGGCAGGACCUUCUUGAAAUGUUCGGAGAGAACUCUUGCUAGCACCUUGUAGAUUGAAGUUAAGAGGCUUAUUUGUUUAAAAUCUUUCACGCAGUGCAUUGAAAGAAAACAAGAAAUCAGAGGACGACUGACCUCCGAUUCGAGUGAGUAGUCUUUAUUAGCUUGGAUUUACUAUUUGUGCAUGUUGUCUCUGAUCUAAUGCUUUCAAUUAUUAAGGAAAUUUUGAUGGUUGUGAUACACGAAUUCUAGAAAUACGAAAAAAUGAUCUGUCAACUAUGUGAUUGAGAACUUAUGUUGUCUCCACGUAUAACUAAUGAUGACUCUCGCUGUAUAUAUAUUCUCCAUGACGUUUGUAUGGUGGAUUAAGUAGGUCGUUGAAGCCAAAAUACAGAUGGAGGAAAUGAUCACUGAGCCUUACAUUCCUAGGAAGAUGUGGUACGUAAAUUCAGUUAUGGAGCAACUUAACUCAAUAACAUCGGUCACUUGGACGAAAAUGACAUCUAUGCUAGCUGGUCAUUCUACAGCUUUAUUCGUGCUCAAGUUCUCUUUU